Long non-coding RNA from Bufo bufo (common toad), 298 nucleotides. RefSeq lists it as uncharacterized. The transcript has 3 exons. Lineage: Eukaryota; Metazoa; Chordata; Amphibia; Anura; Bufonidae. The record is from RefSeq and is a predicted model, not a curated record.
GGUCUUGGUUCUGGGUUUAUCAGAAUGCGGUAGCACCAGACUUGAUGUCUACAAGAACCGUCCUGCUAAUGUCUUCUGAAGAUUAGAGAAAUACUUCCAGGUUCCUUAGGUUCAGGACUUUCUUCUUUUGAAAGACAAUGGUCCUUUCCAUCAAUGACCCACCAAGGAUGGAGAAGGACAGAAACCACAUGGCUGCGAGGAUAUUAGACCUCACCCUGGAGAUCGUCUCCUUGAUAACUGGAGAGGAUUACACAGUAGUGAAGAAGUCGUCUGGUGAGUGUGUGACACCCCGUGUGUC